RNAcentral lists this ribosomal RNA (376 nucleotides) under uncultured bacterium. Its description in RNAcentral is "bacterial SSU rRNA". It matches the Rfam family "Bacterial small subunit ribosomal RNA", at positions 524 to 898 of the family's 1533-position model. The record is from RNAcentral.
UACGGAGGGUGCGAGCGUUAUUCGGAAUUACUGGGCGUAAAGCGCGUGUAGGCGGCCAACCAAGUCUGAUGUGAAAGCCCUGGGCUUAACCUGGGAAGUGCAUUGGAAACUGGCUGGCUUGAGUACUGGAGAGGAAGGGGGAAUUCCCGGUGUAGAGGUGAAAUUCGUAGAGAUCGGGAGGAAUACCAGUGGCGAAGGCGCCCUUCUGGACGGUUACUGACGCUGAGACGCGAAAGCGUGGGGAGCAAACAGGAUUAGAUACCCUGGUAGUCCACGCUGUAAACGAUGAGCACUAGGUGUAGCGGGUACUCAUUCCUGCUGUGCCGUAGCUAACGCGUUAAGUGCUCCGCCUGGGGAUUACGGUCGCAAGACUAAA